UCAAAACACCCCCCGUGGGUCCGCCACUGACUGACACGUAGUUUAACCCCCAAUAUCCCCCGGUUGGAUCCGCCACUGUCUAUGGUACUUACUUCUGGUGCUUAAUCGGUCUGUUAUCUGUAUCUGAUCGCUUCUGGCAAUCGUUCCUCUUCAUCAGCCAAAGGUAGACAGUUAUGUCAUUCGCUUAUUGGGCUGUAACGAUUUGCAAAUGCAUUCCGGUGUAAGUAAGAGACCAUAUAAGUGUCAAGGGUACCAAUUGACAUAGACCGUUUUGCAGUAUCACCGACGAUAUUUUACAAAACCUUUAUUACU
This is a long non-coding RNA of Rhagoletis zephyria (snowberry fruit fly), 312 nucleotides long. RefSeq lists it as uncharacterized. Lineage: Eukaryota; Metazoa; Arthropoda; Insecta; Diptera; Tephritidae. The record is from RefSeq and is a predicted model, not a curated record.